GGUCUUGACAUCCGAUGCUAUUCUAGAGAUAGAAAGUUACUUCGGUACAUCGGUGACAGGUGGUGCAUGGUUGUCGUCAGCUCGUGUCGUGAGAUGUUGGGUUAAGUCCCGCAACGAGCGCAACCCCUAUUGUUAGUUGCCAUCAUUCAGUUGGGCACUCUAGCGAGACUGCCGGUAAUAAACCGGAGGAAGGUGGGAUGACGUCAAAUCAUCAUGCCCCUUAUGACCUGGGCUACACACGUGCUACAAUGGUUGGUACAACGAGUUGCGAGUCGGUGACGGCGAGCUAAUCUCUUAAAGCCAAUCUCAGUUCGGAUUGUAGGCUGCAACUCGCCUACAUGAAGUCGGAAUCGCUAGUAAUCGCGGAUCAGCACGCCCGCGGUCGAAUACGUUCCCGGGCCUU
Molecule: ribosomal RNA, 403 nt
Filed under: uncultured Streptococcus sp.
Lineage: Bacteria; Bacillati; Bacillota; Bacilli; Lactobacillales; Streptococcaceae
Description: bacterial SSU rRNA
Rfam family: Bacterial small subunit ribosomal RNA
Source: RNAcentral